CUAUCGCUUCGUGUACACAGGGCUUUCUGUGUAUGUGGCAGAUUUGUUGGCGAGCUUGGGUUAGACCAGAACCCGGGGGGUGACAAAAAUUUUAUUUUGACAAUUCUAACAUUUUAUUUUGACAUUUUUAUGAGAUAAAUUUGCUGGUGUGUACCAAUACACUAAGGAGCCGUUUGGUUAUAUGUAAUUAUAAAUGCAGUGUAGUUAGAGAUACAUGCAGUUGAAAAUACAGUAGUUACAACUACAUAAAUCAUGUUUGGUUGGAUGUAGUAGAAAGUGCUGCAAGUAUAAAUAAUUUGUUUGGUUGCAUGCAGUUGAGAAAUAAUUUUUAAAUUUUUAUUAUUUUAUAUAUAUGACAGUGAGAUUACCUCCAAUGUAAAAAAAGAAAAUAAUUUUUGUUUAAAAAAUAUUGAGGAGGUAAGUAUACCUUUUAUUUAAAGUUACUCUCUCCAACUGCUAUAGUUGGAACUGCGGCCAAUUUAGGUGUAGGUCGAACUGCUGCAGUUGGGCCUCCUCCUGUAGUUCCUACUGCAGCAAUUGGAGUUAAAUACAUCAAACCAAACACUAAAUUUGUAUUUACAUGCAGUUACAACUGUAGUGCAGUUGCAACUAUAUGCAACCAAAUGGC
Molecule: long non-coding RNA, 628 nt
Filed under: Ananas comosus (pineapple)
Lineage: Eukaryota; Viridiplantae; Streptophyta; Magnoliopsida; Poales; Bromeliaceae
Description: long non-coding RNA (ACOM_LNC015390)
Source: RNAcentral